GGUGUUAUGCCAGAUAAAUUGGGUUAUCUUGAUGAGGUAAAAUAUGGGAGCUAUUCCUUAACACUA
Molecule: non-coding RNA, 66 nt
Organism: Ruditapes philippinarum (Manila clam)
Lineage: Eukaryota; Metazoa; Mollusca; Bivalvia; Venerida; Veneridae
Source: the annotation of a RefSeq genome assembly